This 449-nucleotide ribosomal RNA is filed under the name uncultured bacterium. RNAcentral's name for it is "bacterial SSU rRNA". It matches the Rfam family "Bacterial small subunit ribosomal RNA", at positions 354 to 796 of the family's 1533-position model. The record is from RNAcentral.
GUGGGGAAUUUUGCGCAAUGGGCGAAAGCCUGACGCAGCAACGCCGCGUGUGUGAUGAAGGUCUUCGGAUUGUAAAGCACUUUCGACCGGGACGAACCUCCCAGGGCCAAUACCCCUGGGUCUGACGGUACCGGGAGAAGAAGCACCGGCUAACUCUGUGCCAGCAGCCGCGGUAAUACAGAGGGUGCAAGCGUUGUUCGGAAUUAUUGGGCGUAAAGCGCGUGUAGGCGGCUUUGCAAGUCGGGUGUGAAAGCCCUCGGCUUAACCGAGGAAGUGCGCCCGAAACUGCAGAGCUGGAGUACCGGAGAGGGUGGCGGAAUUCCCCAAGUAGAGGUGAAAUUCGUAGAUAUGGGGAGGAACACCGGUGGCGAAGGCGGCCACCUGGACGGAUACUGACGCUGAGACGCGAAAGCGUGGGGAGCAAACAGGAUUAGAAACCCGGGUAGUCC